CUGYUUYGCUGACGAGUGGCGGACGGGUGAGUAAUGUCUGGGAAACUGCCUGAUGGAGGGGGAUAACUACUGGAAACGGUAGCUAAUACCGCAUAACGUCGCAAGACCAAAGAGGGGGACCUUCGGGCCUCUUGCCAUCGGAUGUGCCCAGAUGGGAUUAGCUWGUWGGUGGGGUAACGGCUCACCWAGGCGACGAUCCCUAGCUGGUCUGAGAGGAUGACCAGCCACACUGGAACUGAGACACGGUCCAGACUCCUACGGGAGGCAGCAGUGGGGAAUAUUGCACAAUGGGCGCAAGCCUGAUGCAGCCAUGCCGCGUGUAUGAAGAAGGCCUUCGGGUUGUAAAGUACUUUCAGCGGGGAGGAAGGGAGUAAAGUUAAUACCUUUGCUCAUUGACGUUACCCGCAGAAGAAGCACCGGCUAACUCCGUGCCAGCAGCCGCGGUAAUA
This 449-nucleotide ribosomal RNA is filed under the name Shigella flexneri. RNAcentral describes it as "bacterial SSU rRNA". Lineage: Bacteria; Pseudomonadati; Pseudomonadota; Gammaproteobacteria; Enterobacterales; Enterobacteriaceae. The record is from RNAcentral.